RNAcentral lists this ribosomal RNA (547 nucleotides) under Boophis englaenderi. RNAcentral describes it as "partial 16S ribosomal RNA". The stretch from base 1 to 397 matches the Rfam family "Bacterial large subunit ribosomal RNA", at positions 715 to 1300 of the family's 2925-position model. Lineage: Eukaryota; Metazoa; Chordata; Amphibia; Anura; Mantellidae. The record is from RNAcentral.
CCGAAACUAAGUGAGCUACUUUAAAAUAGCCCUAGAGCUAACCCAUCUCUGUUGCAAUAGAGUGGGAUGAUUUUUAAGUAGAGGUGACAGACCUACCGAACUUAGAGAUAGCUGGUUUUUUAAGAAAAGAAUUUUAGUUCAACCCUAAGCCUCCCAUUAAACAAAAAUAAAACUAGACUUAGGAGCCAUUCAAAUAAGGCACAGCUUAUUUGAAACAGGAUACAACCUAGAAAAAAGGGUAAAAAUCAAUUAAACUAUUGAAAAGUGGGCCUAAAAGCAGCCACCUUUUAAAAAGCGUCAAAGCUUCACACUAAUAAUUUAACUAAUUCCUUUAACAACCUCUAACCCUUACUAAAUAUUAAAAAAUCCCAUAACAUUAUGGAAGCUAUUAUGCUAGAACAAGUAAUAAGAAAAAGACUUUCUCCAAAAUGUAAGCUUAAGCCAUGAUAGACAAACUAUUGGCAAUUAACGUUUAUAAACUUCUUAUAGUAACACCAACAAGAAAACCCUAUAUCCCCCCUGACUCGUCAACCUUACACUAGCACAU